Long non-coding RNA from Gadus macrocephalus (Pacific cod), 902 nucleotides. RefSeq lists it as uncharacterized. The record is from RefSeq and is a predicted model, not a curated record. The transcript has 2 exons. NCBI's taxonomy places the organism in Eukaryota, Metazoa, Chordata, Actinopteri, Gadiformes, Gadidae.
ACUUCGGUAGGUUGAACACGAGGCGCACUGCCGCAUUCUGGAUGCGCUGCAAGGGUUUAAUCGCAGAGGCAGGAAGUCCAACCAGGAGUGAGUUGCAGUAGUCGAGGCGGGAGAUGACCAGUGAUUGGACUAGAAGCUGAGCUGCUUCCCUUGUGAGGAAGGGCCGGAUUCUGCUGAUGUUUGCGGUGCAGCAUAACUGAUUGUCCAAUACCACACUGAGGUUUCUGGCAGUAGGAGAAGGAGAUACAGUGAUGUUCUCAACGGUGACCAGUAAGUCCAUGUGUGGGCUAUCUUUCCCUGGGAUUAGGAGGAGCUUGGUUUUGUUGAGGUUAAGCCUCAGGUGAUGGGCAGUUGUCCAGGUGCUGACGUCCGCCAGACAUUCUGAUAUGCGUGUUGCAAUCAGGGCUUUAUCAGAUAAGGGGAAAGAGAGAAAAAGCUGAGUGUCGUCAGCAUAGCAGUGAUAGAAAAAGCCGUGUGAUGUAAUUACAGAGCCCAGAGAUCUGGUAUAGAGGGAGAACAGAAGAGGCCCCAGUACAGAGCCUUGAGGGACACCAGUUUCAAGCGUGCAAGGUUUGGACAAGGAGCCAUUCCAUGUUACUUGAUAGGUGCGGUUCGUCAGGUAGGAUGUGAACCAGGAAAGAGCAGAUUCAGCAAUACCAAGUUCAGCAAGAGUGGCAAGGAGGAUCUGGUGGUUCACCGUGUCAAAUGCUGCGGACUUGUCGAGGAGAAUGAGAACCGAUGAGAGGGACGAGGCUCUGCCAGCACGGAGGGACUCAGUCACCGCAAGGAGAGCCGUCUCAGUGGAGUGUGCCUUCUUGAAGCCUGACUGGUGAGGGUCAAGCAGGUUGUUAGAUGAGAGAUAGGAGGACAGUUGGUUAGCAAUGGCACGUUCCAGUGUUUUA